UUUAACAUCAACGACAGAAAAGAGAAUCCGGAUUUCGCCAAGUAUGCCUGAGAUGGACACAGAAGACUUUUUCUGGUUGAAUAUGGGUGAGCCAACUACAGGUAAAAAAGUGCUUAAGUAUUUGCUGCAUUGUGCAGAAAAUUUUCAUUUGACAGAAUGGUGGCUUUGCAACACCACACCUGAACUUGAACCUGGGACAUUAUCGUAUCUUCCGAAGAUCCUUCCAAUUGGGCCAUUGUUAAGAAGCAAUGAUAAUGAUAAUAAGAAAAGUGCAACUACAAAAUCAAUGGGACAAUUCUGGGAAGAAGAUCAAUCUUGCAUGAGUUGGUUAGAUGAACAAGCUCAUGGUUCUGUGUUGUAUGUUGCAUUUGGAAGUUUCACUCUUUUUGACCAAAACCAAUUCAAUGAACUUGCCCUAGGACUAGACCUCACCAACAGACCUUUUCUUUGGGUUAUAAGAGAAGACAAUAGAAUGGCAUACCCUCAUGAAUUCAAAGGGCAGAAAGGUAAGAUAGUGAGCUGGGCACCUCAACAAAAGGUUUUAAGCCACCCUGCCAUAGCAUGUUUUGUGACUCAUUGUGGCUGGAACUCUACCAUGGAAGGUUUGUCCAAUGGGGUACCUUUCUUGUGUUGGCCAUACUUUGGAGACCAACUUUCCAACAGAACACAUAUUUGUGAUGAGUUGAUGGUUGGUUUGGGGAUUGACAAAGAUCAAAAUGGAGUUGUGUCACGAGAGGAGUUGAAAACCAAAGUGGAACAAUUAUUUAAUGAUGACAACAUAAAACCUAGGUCUGUGGAGUUGAAGGAGAAAGUGUUGAACAACAUAGCAAAAGGAGGAACAUCUUAUGAGAAUCUUAACAUGUUUGUGAAGAUGAUAAAAGAAUAAGAGUUGACAUUUUGUGAAUAUGUUAACUCUAGAUUUGUAUUAGUUUGUUUUAUACCAUGUAUUUGAUAUGUAGUUAUCUUUAUUUGCUAAUGAAUUGUUUCGCUUGUGAAAAGAAAUAAUAUGUUGCUAAUUUGUUAGCAUAUAUGUAAAUCUUGUUUUGUUUGUUUCAAUGCCCAUGUUAUAGAUUUUUAUUCCAAUUUCUUAUUGCUAAGGUGUUGUUUUUUUUAUUUAGUAAAAGUUUGUACUAGGAUGAUGGUAUCCUUGCAUUAAAUAUUGCUAAUAAAUGUGUAAGUGUACAAUAAGGUGUUCAUUAUUUUUUAUACAAUAACAGUCUAUUGACAAACCAUUUUAAGAAUUAAUAUAAUCACUAAAAAAGAUAACAUUUUUUUAUUUGUUAAGAAAAAAAUUAAAAAGUAAAAUAAUGAAUUUAAAGUGGAUAUAAAAAACUAUUAGAUGUUAAAGUAACAUUAUCUUAAUUUCAAAUAAAAAUUAUUCUUUGUUUUUUUAUUAUAUACUCAAAUAGAUAAACUCUUGACAAUUUUAUUAAUUUGAUAUUAAAAAAUAUGUAUAUGCUUUAUAAAUUUAAAUUUUAAUAACACCAUAGUUGUUUUAAUUUGAUUUUUAUUUUUGUCAAAUUUUAUAUAGUAAAUAAUAUUUGAGUAACUACCAUAUAAAUGAAACCUAAUUUUUGAAAUGUAAAAUAAGAAUGAGAAUUGACUUUUAUUUGAAAAUUAGUUGAAUGAAAUUCCCUCGUGCUCACCAACUCUUCUUUUAUCUUCAUCGGCCACCGAAUAAAGUUGAUUGAACACUCAAAUAAAUACAUAAUAGGGUCCAUGCUACAACCUUCACGCUCCUUCAUCUUCAUUGCAUGAAACGUUUUACAAAUUUAAUGGUUUAAUUUGUAAUUGUUUUUAGUUUAAAUACAUUUUAAGUUUUUUUUAAUAUUUUUUAAAGAUAGUGUGACAAAAAAAUUUAAAACUUUAAAAUAAAUAAAUAUUUUUAGUACAAUAAUUAAUCUUAAUGAUAUUAUUUGAGAACAUUCAUUUUAUUUUCUACAAUUAUGUCAAAUUUAUACUAUUUUUUAAAUUUUUUAUUUUAAAAAGUAAUUCAAAAUUCAUCGUUGUUUAUAUAUAAUACCAUCUAAAAUGACCUUCAUUAUUACCAUCUAUGAUAUUUUGGAUCAAGCUCGUACAUCUAUAACUUUUAAAUUCAAUUGAAAGAUUUUAAAUGUUAAAAUAACAAAUUUCAGAUAAAAAGUGGAGUGUAAACCUUUUAGUUAAGUUAUGAGUUAUUUAUUUUAUCUCUACUUAUCAUUUAUUUCAAUGAACAUAUAAUAUAAGCUUUUAUUUAGAAGUAUAGUUAAUAUUAAUAGUCUUUCAUACAUUUUAACCUUUUUUUUUUAUACUUCCAUCACCCCAUUAAUUCUCCUCACAUCACAUUCAAUUGUAUAAUCCGUGAUAAUUAAUUCCUCUCAGAUAAAUUCAAAUUAUAUUUAAGUUUUCAAUAACCAAUAAAUAUUCAACAAGCAAUCAAACAUAUUAAUUAAUUAUUAAAAUAAUAUAUUUUAGAUAAUCAAACCUAUUAAUACCGAUUAAUAUAUCUGUUAAUUAAAUAAUUAUUAAUUCUUAAUCGAUAUAUUUCAUAUAAUAUACAUAAUAAAAUAAGAAAAGAAAGCAAGAUAAGAAAAUAAUUAAGAAAAUUUCAGAAAAAGGGUUGUUGAUAUUACAGACGUUCUUGAGAAAAUGGAGGAGAAAGAGAAAAGAAAGUUGAAGGGAGUUCAUUGAUGAGUCUUUUUCACUUGGUUUACUUUACUUUAAUAUGAAAAUAUUAUACAGAAAAGGGACCACAUUUUAGGCACCGCAAUCAUAAAUGUCGUGGUCUCAAACUCAUCCAAUAAUAUCCUAAGAUUUGAUUGAUCCAAUUCAUCUAUAAUAAUUGCUAAUUAUGCUUUCAAUGUAUAUAAGAACUGUAAGAAAACGUAUACAUUUAACUUACAAACUUUAGUAUUCGUCAAAUGGCAACGUUAUUAGCAUGAUUUUAAGUAACUCAAACAAUACAAAAGAUUCAUUUCAAAAAAAUAUAAAAUUUCUAAAAUUAUAUUUUAUUUUUUUAUUAAAUAAAUAUUUAUAUUAGAAAAUGUAUCGAAUGAAUAUUAAAAAUAAAUAAGAUUGACAUCGUUUUACUAAAUAUUAAUCUUAUUUAGUUGUAAUAUUUUAAUUUUUAAAUUAAUUUUAACUCCACAAACGUUAAAUAAAUAAAUAUAUAUAACUAAAAUAAAUAAGAUUAGUGUUUAAUCGAUAUUAACCUUAUUUAUUUUUUAUAUUUCGUUUAUUUAAUUUAGUAUUGGUUUAGUAGACAUUAAUUAUAUAAAAAAAAUCAAAAUAAAUAAUGUUAGUAUGGAUCAUAUUGAAUAUGUACCGUAAUAACUUUUAAUCUAAUAAUAGAGUUUUAAAGAUGACAAAGUCUCUUUACUCAUAAUUUUUUUAUUUCAUUUUUUAUAUAAAUCUCCUUACACUCUUUUUCUCUUGAUUCACAUUCAUAAGUAUUCUCACACUUAUUUUCUCCUAUUUUUUUUUUUUCAUCCACAUUAAUUCUUCUGUUUAUCUCCUUCCUUCAUAAUCAUUUUUUCCAUACACAUUCAUCUCCCUUAUACACCUUCAUCUCUUUUAUCCAUUAUAAUUAUUUUUCUAUUUUUUCAUUCAUAUUUGUUGAAUAUAGAGGUAUAUAUGAUAAUUUUUGUUUGAAUUUAUUAUCAUUAGCAUUGACCAGGUCGACGCUAUAUUAAAUAAAUUUUAAAACAAAAAUACCUUAAUAAUGUCUUAUGAAUUUCUAAAUUUUUAUUAGUUUUUCUAUUAAUAUUGAUGUCUUAUUUUAAUAUUCUCUUUCAUGAUUCCACAUAACCUCUUAUUAAAUCAAUAUUUUAAUAUCAUACUUAUUAAAUAAAAUAUAUAAUAUAUAAUUUAAUAUCAUUAUUGACUAUAAUAUACUUACUAAUUUUAUUAAUCUCAUAAAGAAUAAAACUUAUAACAUAAAGUAAUAUGUAGUACAUUGUCAUAAAGUCUCAAACAUGUCAUAAGAAACAUAAAGUCUAACCAAAAUAUGAGAAUAUAAAAUUAAUUUGAAUAAAAUUCACAUUAAAUUUUUUUAAUAAUUACUAAAUAUAUCUAUAUUAUAAAUAUAUAUAUAUAUACUAUUAAAGAGAAAUAAAUAAUUGGUAGAGUUUAAGUAUAAAUUUAAGUCAUACAUUAAAAAAAAAUAAACAACUUAUAAUAAAAAGUUCAUAAACAUAUUAUUUAAAAAUUCAUUAUUUUAAACUUUCAAAUUCAUAUAUCGUAUUUAGUUUUGAUUCAUAUCUAGAUGAAUAUUUUGCACAACAAAAUUAAAUAACUAUUUUAUAUACUUUAAAUAUAUGUUGAUUCAGAAAAAUUAAAUAUGUUUAAUCAGUCAAGGAUUUCAACAUUCUAUAUUGCUGUGUAAUUUUUCUGAAAACAAACAACCAAGUUUAUUAAAAUAUUUUACAAAAUUUAUGUUAGUUUAUUAAAAGUAUUUAGAUUUGUGAAAAAUUAAAAGUUAAUUUUAUUUUUUAUUAUAUUUAAAAUAAAUACUUUUUCUUAAAAGAAGAUCCAUGGAUCAAAGUCAAACCAUAUAAUAGGUAACAAAUUGACAUAUCUACUUGCGUUUAUGUCUUACUUGUGAUUAUGUCUUAAUAGAUCAUCUUUACUUCAUUUUAUGUAUUAGUUGUUACAAUAACUCAUAUAUAUGUAACCAAAAUUGAAAUCCAUUUUGUAACAUAUAACUAACCUAGUCUUACGUAAACUUAAUAAAUUAUAGCGAAAAUUCUAAAUUAUGCACUCUUAUUGUAAUUUUGUAUUUUGAUGUGAAACUUUUAGUGAACAACAAAUAUAUAUAUAUAUAUAUAUAUAUAUAUAUAUAUAUAUAUAAUUAAGUUUUUAAUUUCCAUUAAAUGGCCAUUGUUAUAUAUAUAUAUAUAUAUAUAUAUAUAUAUAUAUAUAUAUAUAUAUAUAUAUAUUUUUCUUAGAUUUAUGUGCUUUUUAAUUUUUUUCUUUAUAUAGUAUGAGAUAUUAAUAAUUUUGUUGGUACAUUUAUCACUUACCUAUUUUGGGGUUAUUGUUUGGUAAGUAGGGAGGAGAAAUAGAGAUAACUCUACCCAAAUUAAUCGUGUCUAGUAAAUAUGUAUCUUCCCUUCGGCAUCAAAUUGAACAAAUUUCACUAAAAUAUGAGAGAGUAUUCAUUGAAGUUACUUAUGGCAUAUUACCAAAUAUUUAGUUGACAAUAACAUUAACAUAAUAUAAGAAAUAAGAAAGUGACAUGUAAACGUGUUGCCAUUAAUAUAGUCCUUUCUUCCUCUCUUUUUUGGCUAAAAAUUUAAGAUUGCAGGAUAAUACUCUAUACUUCAAGAUAGGGAAAAGUUUCCAACUCAAAGACUCCUCAUAAAUAUUAUUAUUAUUAUUAUUAUUUUAGUUUUUUAAGAAAAUAAUUAGGAGUUUGAACUGUCACCUGUUCUUAAAUAUGUCUGAAUUUUGUAAUAAAAUAAGAGACAACUCCAUAUAUCUCACUUUAUAUUAUACUAAAUGACAUUAACUUUUCUCAAAAAAAAAUUUAAUAUAUACUUUUCAAAUGUUUUUAAUUUUAAAAUAGACUGACAAAUAAUUUAUUAUAUUCUAAUAAAAUUAUAUUUAUCUUUUUUUUAAAAAAAAUAUCGUAUUAUUUAAAAAUUAAGAGUGUAAAGAUAUUUCUAAUUUGUGUUAGAGAAAACACUUACCUUAAAAAAGAAUAUUUCAAUCUAAUAUAUAUAUAAUUCUUUUAUAUAUAUAUAUGUGUGUAUGUUUUUUAAAGAUCAGAGAGUCGAAAUCAAGGCUAUAGUUGAGAAUGAGCAUUCCAACAGUGCUAGUUCUGCCAUUCCCUGCACAAGGGCAUGUGAAUCCGAUGAUGAUCCUGUCAGAAAAGCUGGUGGAGAAUGGAUGUAAAGUGGUUUUCGUGAACACAGAGUUCAACCACAGGAUAAUGGUGAGUUGCAUGGUGGAGCAACGAGAUCAAAAUCCACUGAUAAAGUUGGUGUCAAUCCCAGAUGGCUUGGAAGCUGAUCAUGACAGAAAGGAUUUGUCAAAGCUGUUUGAUGUUAGUCUAAGCAGCAUGCCUCAUGCACUUGAGAACCUCAUCACAGAACAAAAUAUGAUUUCCAAAUCUGAGAACAGAAUCAGAUUCAUUGUUGCAGAUGUAAACAUGGCAUGGUCAUUGAACGUUGCCUGCAAACUGGGAAUCAAAGGAGCUCUAUUCUGCCCUGCAUCAGCAGCCAUUUUUGCCUUAAUUUACAACAUACCCAAACUUAUUCAUGAUGGCAUCAUAAAUUCUGAUGGUAACAUUUUACUUUAUCCUAUUAUGUUAUUUAUUUAAUUUCAUCACUUCUUUUCUUGUUAAAUCAUUUUUAAGUUAUCAAAAUGUUUCGCCUCACCCGUUAUUGAUUUCUCAAAAACGGAUAAAAAAAUCGAUGAGUUGGUAGAUCAGCUAGUCAACUUUUUUUACUUUUGUUUUUUUAAAAUUUGUUUUACAUAUAUAAAUAUUAAAAGCAUAUUUAAUUGUAUAAAUAUAUUUUGAUUUAUAUAAAUAUUUUCUAAAUUUUUAAUUAUUAAAUAUUUAAUCAAAUAAAUUGAUAUAAUAAUUGUUGUACAUUUGGAUAUCAUCUCUCAAUAUGUAUUAAAUACAAUGGACUACAACAACUUAAUAGAUUUAAAAUUAGUCUAGUCAACCUUAAUUUUUCACAUAAAUUAUAAAAAUUUAAGUGUAAGUUUAAGUUUUAUAUGGAAUAAAAAUGAGAAUGUACUACAUUACAUAAUAAUGGAAAUUGAUUAAGUUAUUACAACUAUUUUCUAUACGUUUCAUUUCUUUUUUAUGUAUAAAAAACUAAUUUUAUUUCGUCUAAGUAAAAUAUUGAUCAUUUAUCAACAAUUUUGUUUUCAUAAAUACAUUUUCUACUAAAUAUUACAUAGUUCCUGUUAAAAUUUGUGUUAAUUUACCUAAUAAAAUCAUGAAAAUAUCUAAUAAAAUGAUAUCUGUUCCCAUAAAACUACACUUACUAAUUAUAAUUUUUUUUUUAUUGUAGGGUCAUUGUUGACCACUAAAGAGACAAUUCAACUAUCACCAGGCAGGUUAGAGAUGGACACAAAAAGUAUUUUCUGGUUGAAUUUGAGUGACACAAUGAAUACUAAACAAAUGUUGAAUUACUUAGAUACUUGUGCAAAAUGUUCAAAUUUGACAGAACUAUGGUUUUGUGACACGACAUAUGAACUUGAACCUAGGGUUUUAAGCUUCUUUCCCAAGAUCCUCCCAAUUGGCCCAUUGUUGAGAAAUUAUAGCAACAUGAAUGCAUCAUCGACAAGAUCAAUGGGACAACUUUGGGAAGAAGAUCUCUCUUGCACGAGUUGGCUCGAUCAACAACCUCAGUGUUCUGUUAUAUAUGUUGCAUUUGGUAGUAUCACAUGUUUUGACCAAAACCAAUUCAAUGAACUUGCACUAGGACUAGACCUCACCAAUAGACCUUUUCUUUGGGUUGUGAGAGAAGACAACAAGAUGACAUACCCUAAUGAAUUCCAAGGGAAUAAAGGUAAGAUAGUUCAAUGGGCUCCUCAACAAAAGGUGCUAAACCACUCUGCCAUUGCUUCCUUUGUUAGCCAUUGUGGUUGGAACUCAACCAUGGAAGGUUUGUGUAAUGGGGUGCCCUUCUUGUGUUGGCCAUAUUUUGCUGACCAAAUCUAUAACAAAGCAUAUAUUUGUGAUGAAUUGAAGGUUGGGAUGGGAUUGGAGUUGGAUGAAAAUGGAGUUGUGUCAAGGUGGGAGAUAAAGAAGAAAUUGGAGCAAAUACUAAGUGAUGUGAACAUGAGAACAAGGUCUAUGAAGUUAAAGGAAAAGGUUUUAGACAAAGGUCGAUCUUCAGAGAACCUUAAAAAAUUGGUCAAGUGGAUCAAAGAGUAGGAUUUUUCCUUUUAUGUGUGUGUUUUGGAUCAUUAGAUCAACUUUUUGAGUGAUGAACAUGGAUGCAAUUUGGAAGUAAUAUGUCAAAUAGAAGUGAAGUGUAACUUGUUAGAGUUCAUUGAUAUGGGUUGGAGGUUGNNNNNNNNNNNNNNNNNNNNNNNNNNNNNNNNNNNNNNNNNNNNNNNNNNNNNNNNNNNNNNNNNNNNNNNNNNNNNNNNNNNNNNNNNNNNNNNNNNNNNNNNNNNNNNNNNNNNNNNNNNNNNNNNNNNNNNNNNNNNNNNNNNNNNNNNNNNNNNNNNNNNNNNNNNNNNNNNNNNNNNNNNNNNNNNNNNNNNNNNNNNNNNNNNNNNNNNNNNNNNNNNNNNNNNNNNNNNNNNNNNNNNNNNNNNNNNNNNNNNNNNNNNNNNNNNNNNNNNNNNNNNNNNNNNNNNNNNNNNNNNNNNNNNNNNNNNNNNNNNNNNNNNNNNNNNNNNNNNNNNNNNNCUAUAUAAAUAAUAUUUUAUGGAGUAGCUUUCUUUUGUUAUAUUAUUUAUUUAAUAUGGAUUUGGUUGGUUAUAAUAAUAUUAUAUAUAUUAUUUUUAUUAUAUAUAAUACAAUUUCACAUUGAUAAGUCGUGUUUAGGGAUUGCAACGGGUCAGGUCGGAUACAGAUAUUGUCUAUCCGCAUGGAUACCUGCUUAAAAAAUACCGGCGGGCAUUUUAAAAUCUGCGGAUACCCUUGGGUAUUCACGGAUUCCCACAAAUAUUUAAAAAAAAUAUAUUUUUCCAAAAUAUUAAAAUAAAACUUAAAUAAAAUUAAAAAAAAUAUAUAAAAUAUAAUAUAAAUUAAUUUAAAUAUUAAUUAAAAUUUAAUUUUAAUUAAAUUUAACCUUGUAAAAUAUAAAUUAAUGUUAAUUUUAAUUAAAUUUAACUUAAUAAAAUAUAAAUUAUUUUUUUUAUAAUUUUUUGCGGGUAGCGGAUAUCCGUGGGUACAGAUAGUAUAGUAUCCGCACCCGACCCGUUUAUAAGCGGGUAUUAAAAUACUCGCUACCCGCGGGUUAGGGACGAAUAAAUAUUCGCGAGUAUCAACUAUCCAUCGCGGAUUUUAUCCGCAGAUAUCCACAGGCACGGAUUUUUUUGUCAUCCCUAGUCGUGUUAUUUCUUGAUAUAUCACAUUUAUUCUUUAUAAGCACAUUAGUAGGUCGCCUUUAAUGUGUGUAUGUUCUUUUUUGGGAUAUAAGUUGCCUUAUGAUUAGAUGUGUCAACUUGACUCAUGGCUCAUAAGUUAGUCUUUAUAAAAGCUCACUUUUAGAAGGUCCCCUCACAUGGGGUUAAAAGAAAGCUCUAAUUCUUAAAGUUCCCUCUCAAGUAUAUUAGGAUUAAGGUUAAGGUGAACUUGGCCAUACUACAUUACUUAAAUUAACUCUUAGAAACAAUAUAAUUUAUGUAUACAUAUAAAAUUAUAUGUUUUAUUAGAUAGUCUAAUGUUAUAAUUUUAUUAUAUUUAAAUCAAUAUUUUUAUAUCAUACUUAUUAUUAUGUUAUUAAAUAAACUAUAUAAUUUAAUAUCGUUAUUGACUAUAAUAUAUUUAUUAAUUUCUUAAAGAGUAAAACUUAUAGCAUUUAAUAAAAAAGUAUGUAGUACAUUAUCAUAAAGUCUCAAACAUGACAUAAAAAAUAUGAAGUCUAGCAUAAUAUUAUAUUAACUUUAAUAAAUUUCAUACUAAAGUAUUUUUAUAAUUACUAAAUAUAUAUUUAUUAUUAUUAUUAUUAAUAUUAUUAUUAUUAUUAUUAUUAUAUAUAUAUAUAUAUUAUUAAAAUAUUUUAGUUUGAUUAAAAUAUUUAUAUAUAGCUCUUUGAUAAUUAAAAUACUUAUAUUUAUGAAAAAUCAAGAGUUAAUUAUAUUUUUUAUUAUAUUCAAAAUUAAUAUUAAAAAAAAAAAAACUUAUGAGUUGACCUAACCCACGACAUUUUUUUGAAUAUUUUGAUAUAAUGAACUAUCUUCAAUCCAUGUGAAUCAAGACCAAACAAUGUAAUAUGAACCACAUUGACAUGCCUCAUUAUGUCUUACUUGUGAUUAUGUCUCAAUAGGUCACAUUUACUUCUUUUUCUUUUUAUAUAUUGGUUGUUAUCUGUAACCAAAAUUAAAAUGCUUUUUGUAACAUAUAACAAACCACGUCUUACGUAUACUCAAUAAAAUUGUAGUUAAUUAGAAUUCUCAAUUAUGCGCUCUUAAUGUAAUUUUUGUAUUUUUUUUUUCUUUUACAUUACUUAAUGUGAAAUUUUUAGUGAACAACACAUCUAACUAUAUUUAUUUAAGUUUUUUAUUUCCAUUAAACGGUCAUUGUUUUAUAUAUUUUUUCUUAGAUUUAUGUCCUUUAUAUUUUUAUCUUUAUAUACUAUGAGAUAUUAAUAAAUUUGUUGGUACAGUUUUAUGAAUUACCUAUUUUGGAGUUAUUUGUUUGGUAAGAAGGGAGGAGAAGUAGAGAUAAAUUUGUUGGUACAGUUUUAUGAAUUACUUCAAGAUAGGAAAAGUUUAAAACUCCAAGACUCCUCAUAAAUAUUAUUAUUAUUAUUAUUAUUUCAAUUUUUUAAGAAAAUAAUUAGGAGUUUGAACUGUCACCUGUCCUUAAAUAUGUCUUAAUUUUGUGAUAAAAUAAGAGAAAAUUCCAUAUAUCUCACUUUAUAUUAUACUAAAUGACAUUAACUAUUUUCAAAUUUUUUUUGAUAUUUCAAUCUAAUAUAUAUAAUUCUUUUAAUAAUUUAUCAAGAAAAAUUAAUUUAAUAAUGAAAUAUUAAUAAUUAAUUUUUUAAGACUUUCUUAUUAAUAUUUCAAUCUCACUUUAUAAUUAAUUUUUUAAUAUUUCAAUCUCACUUUAUAAUUAAUUUUUUAAUGAAAAUAACUUAUCAAGAAAACUUUAUUUAAUAAUAAAAUAUUAAUAAAAGAAACCGUUCACAUAAAAAAUUAAUAAUUAAUUUUUUAAGACAAAAUAUUAUUAUCACAAAUUGUUAUAUUUUUUAUCAAGAAACAUAUAUUACUUUUUAAAUAAUAUUAUUUUAAGUAAUAAAAGUAAAAUAUAUUUUUUUAAAAUUUAAUUUUAUUAAAUAAUUAAGUCAUAUAAAUCAUAAAAGAAAAAAAACUAUUUAAAAAAUACUUUAAAUAUAUUAUAUGUGUGUGUCAAUAAAAUUUAAGAAAGUCACUCCGUAUUAUAUAUCUAAAAAAACAUACGUAAAAGAGAUACAGAAUAGUAAAAAAACUAAAAAUUAUAUUCUAGAGAAGAAUAUAUAUAUAUAUGGUUUACUCUAUCUCAUCGCGAUAUAAUCUAUCAUAUAUUCUAUCCUUACAAUAAUCUAAGUUACACAUAAUAAAUUUGGAUAACUUCUACACGUAACCAACCUAUUAAAUAUUUUCAUUUUAUGAAAUGUUUAACAUUUUUGUAUUUAAUUUUAUUAUCAAUAAAAUAGUGUAAUCAUUACUAUUAUCUCUUCACUUUUUUUUUACUUUAUUAAUCGAUUUUUUAAUUCUCUUUUCAAUUCAUUAAUAAUUUUUAUUUUCUCUUUUUUGAAAAACAACAUUAUCAAUGAAAAUAAUGAGAAAUUAAAAAAAAGGUUUAUUUUUGACAAGAAAAAGUAAAUAAAAAAUAAUACAAUUAUACAAAAAUAAACAAGAUCUUAAAUCCUCGUAUUAAAAAUUUGUUUCUUCUAUUUGUAUUUCACCUUUUGCAAUUCUAAUUAAUUGAGGAACACUGACUUCCAUUCCAUACAACUUGUAUUCCAAAUUAAAAAAGAAAAUUUUUAUUCCAAAUAAAAAAAUAAAUUGUUUUACAAAACUUGCAAUCAAAAUGAUUUAAUUUCAUAUUAUAAUCUAAAGUUACUUUGUUAUUAGAUAGUGUUAAAAUCAGAUUUUAGAAUUAGUACCGUGUUAAAAUUAGUACAAUUCAGUUUAAAAUUAGUAGUUCAGUUAAAAUUAGUACAGUUUACAAUUCAGUUAAUAAUUCAGUUAGUGUAAUUUACAAUUCAGUUAAUAGUUCAGUACAGUUUACAGUUUAGUUAAUAAUUCAGUUAGUGCAGUUUACAAUUCAGUUAAUAUUUCAGUUCAGUUUAUACUGUAGUUUAGUACAAUUUAGUAUAGUUCAGUUCAGUUCAGUUUGAUGAAACAAAAAACAGUUCAGUUCAGUUUAUCUGAACUGUUUUACAGUUCAGUUCAAACAAAUUAGUUUUUAGUUUAGUACCGUUUUUAGCCGUGCAGUUCAAUUCGGUUCGAUUUGUCCACCCCUAGAACAUACCCAAACUUAUUCAUGAUGAUAUCAUAAAUUGUGAUGGUAAGAUUUCAUUUUAUACUAUUAUGUUAUUUACUUAAUUUCAUCACUUCUUUUCUUGUUAAAUAGUUUUUAAGUUAUCAAAACAGUCAGACCAGCAUGUUUCACCUCACCCGUUGAGUUGGUAGAUUAGCUAGUAAACUUUUUUUACUUUUGUAUUUUUAAAAUUAAUCAUUUUCCAUGAAAACAUUUUCUACUAAAUAUUACAUAGUUCCUCCCAAAAUUUGUGUUAACUUACCUAAUAAAAUCGUGUAAAUAUUUAAUAUAAUGAUAUCUGUUCCCAUAAAACUACACUUACUAAUUGUAUAUAUUUUUAUUGCAGGGUCAUUGUUGACCACCAAAAAGACAAUUCAACUAUCACCAUGCAUGGUAGAGAUGGACACAGGAAGUUUUUUCUGGUUGAAUUUGCAUGACACAAUGAAUAUUAAACACAUAUUUAAUUACUUAAAUACUUGUGCAAAAUGUUCAAAUUUGACUAAACUAUGGUUUUGUAACACCUCAUAUGAACUUGAACCUAGGGUUUUAAGCUUCUUUCUCAAUGUCCUCCUAAUUGGCCCAUUGUUGAGAAAUUAUAGCAACAUGAAUGCAUCAUUGACAAGAUCAAUGGGACAACUUUGGGAAGAAGAUCUCUCUUGCAUGAGUUGGCUCGAUCAACAACCUCAGUGUUCUGUCAUGUUGCAUUUGGUAGUAUCACAUGUUUUGACCAAAACCAAUUCAAUGAACUUGUCAUAGGACUAGGCCUCGCCAAUAAACCUUUUCUUUGGGUUGUGAGAGAAGACAACAAGAUGGCAUACCCUAAUGAAUUCCAAGGGAAUAAAGGUAAGAUAGUUCAAUGGGCUCCUUAACAAAAGGUG
RNAcentral lists this long non-coding RNA (13026 nucleotides) under Vigna radiata. RNAcentral's name for it is "long non-coding RNA (VRAD_LNC000324)". Lineage: Eukaryota; Viridiplantae; Streptophyta; Magnoliopsida; Fabales; Fabaceae. The record is from RNAcentral.